RNAcentral lists this ribosomal RNA (649 nucleotides) under uncultured fungus. RNAcentral's name for it is "eukaryotic LSU rRNA". The stretch from base 249 to 402 matches the Rfam family "5.8S ribosomal RNA". The record is from RNAcentral. Lineage: Eukaryota; Fungi.
AGUAAAAGUCGUAACAAGGUUUCCGUAGGUGAACCUGCGGAAGGAUCAUUAUCGAGUUUUUGAACGGGUUGUCUGCUGGCUCGAAAGAGCAUGUGCACGCCUGGCUCAUCCACUCUCAACUUCUGUGCACUUUUCGUAGGCCGGCUUGUGGGUGUCGCGUUCGCGCGCACUUGUAGGUCUGGCUUAUGCUCUACCACAAACGAUUCAGUUAUAGAAUGUCUUUACUUUGCGAUAACGCAAUUAUAUACAACUUUCAGCAACGGAUCUCUUGGCUCUCGCAUCGAUGAAGAACGCAGCGAAAUGCGAUAAGUAAUGUGAAUUGCAGAAUUCAGUGAAUCAUCGAAUCUUUGAACGCACCUUGCGCUCCUUGGUAUUCCGAGGAGCAUGCCUGUUUGAGUCUCGUGGAAUUCUCAACCUUCGACUUUGUUGUCGAGGGCUUGGACUUGGAGGUCGUGCCGGCUCUCGUAGUCGGCUCCUCUAAAAUGCAUCAGUGCGAACGUUACCAGCCGCUUCAGCGUGAUAAUUAUCUGCGCUGCUGUGGAGGGUAUGUCAGUGUUCAUGCUUCGAACCGUCUUCGGACAACAUUUCAUCUCUGAGCUCAAAUCAGGUAGGACUACCCGCUGAACUUAAGCAUAUCAAUAAGCGGAGG